CAGUGUGUGUGAUGACAGCUGAUGAGAAUAUGAGGAGGAGGACCCGCGAUGGGGCGCCUGAGGUCACCAGGACAAGGCCAUGACCGAGACCAAGACAUGAAGUGUGAAGACAUGAGCUCGUGUGCAUGAGAGCAAAUGGAUUAAGAACUGCAUGCGAAUGGUUGGUGACAGUGGUAUGCGAGUCAGGUGGGUGAGCAGAGAGGAAGGGAGGCGUUUCUUUGAAUGGAAGGUGACUGACAGGAACAGUGAGGGUCUAGAAUGGGAUGUGAGAAAGUGGAAGAGAGAGAUAGACAGUGCAGUGAAAGGUGACGGUCUGAGGAGGUGGAAGCAUGCGAUGGAGCGAAAGACUACUUUGGAGUGGUACAGGGAAAAGGAAGCCCCGCAGUGUGUCAGCAUGCAUGAUGGAAGCCUGGGUGGUGAUCUUCUCUUCCAAGCUCGAGCGCAGUGUAUGAAUGUGAAUGCAAGAAAUUACAGGUGGUCUGAGUCCCGCAGCAAAGUGUAUCAGAUGUGUGACAGGGUUGUGGUUGAAACUGUGGCGUAUGUGAUGCUGGUGUGUGGGAGGUACCGGAGAGAAAGGACGGAUAUGAUGAGGGUGGCACUGAUGGGCUGGGAGGUGAAUGGGAGGAUUGCAAGAACGGAGAGGGAAUGGAUGCUGGUGUGUGGGAGGUGCCGGAGAUGAUGAGGGUGGCACUGAUGGGCUGGGAGGUGAAUGGAAGGAUUGCAAGAACGGAGAGGGAAUGGAUGCUGGUGUGUGGGAGGUGCCGGAGAUGAUGAGGGUGGCACUGAUGGGCUGGGAGGUGAAUGGGAGGAUUGCAAGAACGGAGAGGGAAUGGAUGCUGGUGUGUGGGAGGUACUGGAGAUGAUGAGGGUGGCACUGAUGGGCUGGGAGGUGAAUGGGAGGAUUGCAAGAACGGAGAGGGAAUGGAUGCUGGUGUGUGGGAGGUACUGGAGAUGAUGAGGGUGGCACUGAUGGGCUGGGAGGUGAAUGGGAGGAUUGCAAGAACGGAGAGGGAAUGGAUGCUGGUGUGUGGGAGGUACUGGAGAUGAUGAGGGUGGCACUGAUGGGCUGGGAGGUGAAUGGGAGGAUUGCAGGAACAGAGAGGGAAUGGAUGCUGCUGCUGCUGGGACAGUGCUGAAGCAAAUGAGAGAAUUAUAGAAGCCAUGAAGAGUUUUCUGUGGUGUGCAAGAAAUAGGGAAUAGGAUGAUUAGUAAUGGAUACUGCUUGUUUUGUUUUGUUUUUCCAGGUUGUGGCGAUAUGAAGGCUGACUCUCCAACGGGUCACUGUACAGCAAGAGCAAACUCGCUGCUGCUGACUCCUGUUUCUGCUGCUGCCCCUGCUGACUCCUGCUGCUGCUGCUGGUGACCCCUGCUGGUGCUGGUGCCGCCGUCACAGUCAGCACUCCACACAGCAGCCUCCGUCCAGUGGUGACCCCAAGACUCCGUGCCCGGGGCGAGGGUGGAGAAGAAGACUGUAUAGCAAGGUGUGGCCGCGCUCCAAGCUCUUCCGCACCUAGAGAUGCCUGUCACAACUCAAACACCAACAGCAACUUCACAACUUUCAGUGAAGAAAGCUGGUGGAAGCGGCGCCUGACUGGUCAAGUUGGAACUGACCUCAGAGGGAGGAGCUGAGGAAGGGACAGCCUGUGGGGUGGGGGAAGCAAUCAAUCAGAGAGAGAGAGAGAGAGAGAGAGA
Eriocheir sinensis (Chinese mitten crab) is the source of this 1692-nucleotide long non-coding RNA. RefSeq lists it as uncharacterized. Lineage: Eukaryota; Metazoa; Arthropoda; Malacostraca; Decapoda; Varunidae. The record is from RefSeq and is a predicted model, not a curated record. The transcript has 5 exons.